Molecule: non-coding RNA, 30 nt
Filed under: Rattus norvegicus (Norway rat)
Lineage: Eukaryota; Metazoa; Chordata; Mammalia; Rodentia; Muridae
Source: RNAcentral
AGGAAAGAUAGCAAACCAUAGUCAGGCUGC